CCUACGGGAGGCAGCAGUGAGGAAUAUUGGUCAAUGGGCGCGAGCCUGAACCAGCCAAGUAGCGUGAAGGAUGACUGCCCUACGGGUCGUAACCUUCUUUUAUAAAGGAAUAAAGUGAUGCACGUGUGCCUUUUUGUAUGUACUUUAUGAAUAAGGACCGGUUAACUCCGUGCCAGCACCCGCGGUAAUACGGAGGAUCCGAGCGUUAUCCGGUUUUUUUGGGUUUAAAGGGGGCGUAGAUGGGUUGUUAAGUCAGUUGUGAAAGUUUGCGGCUCAACCGUAAAAGUGCAAUUGAUACUGGCAGGCUUGAGUGCAGAUGAGGUAGGCGGAAUUCGUGGUGUAGCGGUGAAAUGCUUAGAUAUCACGAAGAACUCCGAUUGCGAAGGCAGCUUACGAAACUGCCACUGACAUUGAUGCUCGAAAGUGUGGGUAUCAAACAGGAUUAGAUACCCUUGUAGUC
Molecule: ribosomal RNA, 460 nt
Filed under: uncultured bacterium
Lineage: Bacteria
Description: partial 16S ribosomal RNA
Rfam family: Bacterial small subunit ribosomal RNA
Source: RNAcentral